UACGUAGGGGGCAAGCGUUGUCCGGAAUCAUUGGGCGUAAAGCGCGUGUAGGCGGCCCGGUAAGUCCGCUGUGAAAGUCGGGGGCUCAACCCUCGAAAGCCGGUGGAUACUGUCGGGCUCGAGUGCGGAAGAGGCGAGUGGAAUUCCUGGUGUAGCGGUGAAAUGCGCAGAUAUCAGGAGGAACACCGAUUGCGAAGGCAGCUCGCUGGGACGUUACUGACGCUGAGACGCGAAAGCGUGGGGAGCAAACAGG
Molecule: ribosomal RNA, 253 nt
Filed under: uncultured bacterium
Lineage: Bacteria
Description: partial 16S ribosomal RNA
Rfam family: Bacterial small subunit ribosomal RNA
Source: RNAcentral